UAACACGUGAGCAACCUGCCUUUCAGAGGGGGAUAACAGUUGGAAACGACUGCUAAUACCGCAUAACGCUGCGAUGGGGCAUCCCGAUGCAGCCAAGGGAGCAAUCCGCUGGAAGAUGGGCUCGCGGCCGAUUAGCUAGUUGGUGGGGCAACGGCCCACCAAGGCGACGAUCGGUAGCCGGACUGAGAGGUUGAUCGGCCACAUUGGGACUGAGACACGGCCCAGACUCCUACGGGAGGCAGCAG
RNAcentral lists this ribosomal RNA (245 nucleotides) under uncultured bacterium. RNAcentral's name for it is "partial 16S ribosomal RNA". It matches the Rfam family "Bacterial small subunit ribosomal RNA", at positions 111 to 354 of the family's 1533-position model. The record is from RNAcentral.